GUAUACAUUGUAUGUAAAUAGUGUAUAUUUCAUGAAAUUAUUUCCUUAAAACCCAACAGGAUUUGGAAAAACUAAAUACAUGAAUACAAUAAUGAUGGAAAGUAGAAAUAAAAAAUACUUUAAUAUUUUUGUGAAAAUGAAUGAUUGCAAAGUUAAAGGGUAAUCAAAUAGUGCAAUUUGCUACAAUUCUUUGUAAGAAUUAUCUCCCUUGGGCAGUUUUUAUAGGUGGCGCUAGUAAAAUAAAAAUGGCAGCCUCCAUGGCAGAUCGCUUUGCAAAAUUGUAUUGGAGCAAUGGGCAUUAUUUAUUGCAAAUCUCUGGGUGAACUGACAUAAAUUGCAUAAAAGGACUUCACAAGAACAGAACUAUGGAUGCAAGCACGUGUAAACGAAGUGAAAAAUCUGAUGAGAGAUACCGUGACGGUGAGCUGUAGCAGCAACUUGUGUAUAACAUGUCUAUGGAAUUACUAUACUCGUAUUGAUCAAGGUAAUGACAAUUUUUUCAUACUGCCGAUAUCAGUAUGAACAAUGUCAGAAGUUCAACUACAAGGCCCUCCAGCUGAAUGCAAAAGUAAGCCCACAGAGAGACCGUCCACACCGCUUAGGCACUUACUCAACUUGGAAGGCAUAUGCAAGCAAUAUGUAAUGCCAAGUGACUGAAACAGAAGAGUUUUAUCUCACAGUCAUGAACUGGAAGAUGACGAAACAUUUCAAUGAAAUCUCUGGAAAUGACAUCAUCAAAUAAACAAAGACUGGAGUUCAGAAGACCAGUUCAACACUUUGGAUAAAAUUUAUCAGGCAGUGACUUUCAUCUUCGACUUCCAUGUAUUUAUAAGCACUAAAGAUUACAGUUUUAUGUCUUGGUAUAAGACUAUAAGAGACUACUAAACAAAUGGUAGUUGUUGAUUUCAAAAGAAAAACUGUGUUGAAUUCUGAUACUCUGUUUUACAUAUUUCCCAGUAGUGAGAUUUUAAAUGAAAAGAUUUAUUUUUCAUGAAUUCAACUUUGUUGAAAUUUUUUGAAAGUCAUUUGAAUAUAUGAUCAACCUGAAUGGCAAACAUGUGUAAUGUGUGAAAAAUAUCGCUCAGAUCAUGAAUAUAUUUACAUGUACUAGUUAUGAUUGAGUGGUGAUGAUUGAUAUGUAUUACAUGUACAAAAAGGACAACAUAAAAUAUAUAUCAGUGUGUAAAUAAAAAUCAUGUUGUAUAUUAUACAAUUUAGGAAGAUUUUCUUCUUCACUUUAAUGAUUUUUCUAAUUGAAGAAUACAGUAUUCUCUGACCUCAAAAACAGCCUCAGAUAUUUGAUAUUUUCAGGUUUUAGCACUUUUGGAUUAUCUCCCCUUUUCAGUUAAAUUAGAGCAUCUUAGUCGGCAGACAUAAAAAUUAUUACAUUGAUUAACUGGAAAAAAAAGCAUAGAAUUGUGUUGUAUUUGAACUUGCAAAUUUAAAACAAUUGUUUUGAACUGUAAUAUUCAUUUUACAUGCAGGCAUCUAUGGCGUAUACUGGACGUUGACAGAGAAAAGUAAAAUCGCUCUUUUUUGUUAGAAAUCAUCCCCCAACCCACCCCCAAUAUUAAUACAUGCAAUAAUUUACACAAAAAUGUUUUAAUUUCAUAUACCAUAUAGUAUGAUGUCUUUUGCAAAAAUGCAGCUUUUUCUGUUGGCUGUUUGAUUUUUAUAUUUUUGAAAAAGUGAAAAUCCUCUAAAAUCUAUAUUUUUGUUUUUUGCAUAUUUGGAUUAUCUCCCCUUUGCCAGUAUAAAAUUAGAGAAAUUUUACAGGGCAUGAGUAUGACAAUACCUAUUUUUGAAAAAGGUACCUGUGUUGUUGUAUUUAUAGUUAAAAUAAAAAGAAUUUUUUUUAGUUUCAGUUGUAUACCCUGUAUUUCUUUGGCAUAUGGACUUCGACAAAAAUAGUAUUAAAAAAUUUUCUUUUUUGUUCGAAACUCAUCCAUAAUAUUUUCAGAUGUUCAUGAUAAUUUGCGCAAAAAUGUUUUUAUAUUUUUAUAAGCUUCAGGGUAUGAUGUCUGUGGAAAUAGUACAGUCUUUUAAUUUGAGUGUUGUUUUUUUUAUUUUUUGAUAGCUGAAAAUCUCCUAAAAUUGAUAUUUUCAUGAUUUUGCACAUUUUGGAUUAUCUCCCCUUUUCAGUUCAAAAUUAGAAAGUUUCACUGUUCAUGAAAGUGUUUUGUUAAAUUGCAAAAAGGCACUUGUGUUGUUGUAUUUUGAAUUGAAAAUAAUAAGAAAUUGUUUAGAAAUGUUAUAUUAAUUUCAGAUGUAUAUAUCUAUGGCAUAUACUGGACUUUGACAAAAAUAGUGAAAUUUCUCUUUUUUGUAUGAAAAUCAUCUAUAAUUUUCGGAUAUUUAAUAUAAUUUGCACAAAAAUGUUUUUAUACUUUUGUAAGCCACAGGGUAUGGUGUAUUUGGAAAAAACAUAAUCUUUUGAUUUGGCUGUUGGGUUUUUAUAUUUUUUAAUAGCCGAAAAUCACCUUAAAAUCAAUAUUUUCAUGUUUUUGCAUAUAAGCAUUAUCUCCCCUUUUCUGUCUAAAAUUAGAACACCUUACUGGACAUAAUUAUAUUACAAUUAUUUAUGACAAGUUACUAGUUGAGCUGUAUUUUAAUGAGAAAUAAACAUAAUUGUGAUAUCUUUUCCUAUCUUGUUUUAAUUCAAACUUGAAAAUUGGCAAUUUUGCAUAUUUUUUAAGGGAAUUUCAGUCAUUAUAGGCCGAAAAGAGUAUUUCUGUUGCCAUGGAAACCAGACGCUGAUUUGAAAAAAAAAAUAUUUAUUUUAGGAAGUCACUAAGCAUACUC
Saccostrea cuccullata (small rock oyster) is the source of this 2802-nucleotide long non-coding RNA. RefSeq lists it as uncharacterized. The transcript has 3 exons. The record is from RefSeq and is a predicted model, not a curated record. Lineage: Eukaryota; Metazoa; Mollusca; Bivalvia; Ostreida; Ostreidae.